This 492-nucleotide ribosomal RNA is filed under the name uncultured bacterium. RNAcentral's name for it is "partial 16S ribosomal RNA". It matches the Rfam family "Bacterial small subunit ribosomal RNA", at positions 29 to 507 of the family's 1533-position model. The record is from RNAcentral.
AAUGAACGCUGGCGGUAGGCCUAACACAUGCAAGUCGAACGGCAGCACAGUAAGAGCUUGCUCUUACGGGUGGCGAGUGGCGGACGGGUGAGGAAUACAUCGGAAUCUACUUUUUCGUGGGGGAUAACGUAGGGAAACUUACGCUAAUACCGCAUACGACCUACGGGUGAAAGCAGGGGAUCUUCGGACCUUGCGCGAGUGAAUGAGCCGAUGUCGGAUUAGCUAGUUGGCGGGGUAAAGGCCCACCAAGGCGACGAUCCGUAGCUGGUCUGAGAGGAUGCUCAGCCACACUGGAACUGAGACACGGUCCAGACUCCUACGGGAGGCAGCAGUGGGGAAUAUUGGACAAUGGGCGCAAGCCUGAUCCAGCCAUACCGCGUGGGUGAAGAAGGCCUUCGGGUUGUAAAGCCCUUUUGUUGGGAAAGAAAAGCAGCAGGUUAAUACCCCGCUGUUCUGACGGUACCCAAAGAAUAAGCACCGGCUAACUUCGUG